UACGUAGGUGGCAAGCGUUGUCCGGAUUUAUUGGGUUUAAAGGGUGCGUAGGCGGCCCUAUAAGUCAGUGCUGAAAUAUCCCGGCUUAACCGGGAGGGUGGCAUUGAUACUGUAGGGCUUGAGUAAAGUUGAGGUUGGCGGAAUUGACGGUGUAGCGGUGAAAUGCUUAGAUAUCGGGAGGAACACCUGUGGCGAAAGCGGCUCACUGGACCACAACUGACGCUGAUGCACGAAAGCUAGGGGAGCAAACAGG
Molecule: ribosomal RNA, 253 nt
Filed under: uncultured bacterium
Lineage: Bacteria
Description: partial 16S ribosomal RNA
Rfam family: Bacterial small subunit ribosomal RNA
Source: RNAcentral